RNAcentral lists this ribosomal RNA (2890 nucleotides) under Escherichia coli. RNAcentral's name for it is "bacterial LSU rRNA". The record is from RNAcentral. Lineage: Bacteria; Pseudomonadati; Pseudomonadota; Gammaproteobacteria; Enterobacterales; Enterobacteriaceae.
ACUAAGCGUACACGGUGGAUGCCCUGGCAGUCAGAGGCGAUGAAGGACGUGCUAAUCUGCGAUAAGCGUCGGUAAGGUGAUAUGAACCGUUAUAACCGGCGAUUUCCGAAUGGGGAAACCCAGUGUGUUUCGACACACUAUCAUUAACUGAAUCCAUAGGUUAAUGAGGCGAACCGGGGGAACUGAAACAUCUAAGUACCCCGAGGAAAAGAAAUCAACCGAGAUUCCCCCAGUAGCGGCGAGCGAACGGGGAGSAGCCCAGAGCCUGAAUCAGUGUGUGUGUUAGUGGAAGCGUCUGGAAAGGCGCGCGAUACAGGGUGACAGCCCCGUACACAAAAAUGCACAUGCUGUGAGCUCGAUGAGUAGGGCGGGACACGUGGUAUCCUGUCUGAAUAUGGGGGGACCAUCCUCCAAGGCUAAAUACUCCUGACUGACCGAUAGUGAACCAGUACCGUGAGGGAAAGGCGAAAAGAACCCCGGYGAGGGGAGUGAAAAAGAACCUGAAACCGUGUACGUACAAGCAGUGGGAGCACGCUUAGGCGUGUGACUGCGUACCUUUUGUAUAAUGGGUCAGCGACUUAUAUUCUGUAGCAAGGUUAACCGAAUAGGGGAGCCGAAGGGAAACCGAGUCUUAACUGGGCGUUAAGUUGCAGGGUAUAGACCCGAAACCCGGUGAUCUAGCCAUGGGCAGGUUGAAGGUUGGGUAACACUAACUGGAGGACCGAACCGACUAAUGUUGAAAAAUUAGCGGAUGACUUGUGGCUGGGGGUGAAAGGCCAAUCAAACCGGGAGAUAGCUGGUUCUCCCCGAAAGCUAUUUAGGUAGCGCCUCGUGAAUUCAUCUCCGGGGGUAGAGCACUGUUUCGGCAAGGGGGUCAUCCCGACUUACCAACCCGAUGCAAACUGCGAAUACCGGAGAAUGUUAUCACGGGAGACACACGGCGGGUGCUAACGUCCGUCGUGAAGAGGGAAACAACCCAGACCGCCAGCUAAGGUCCCAAAGUCAUGGUUAAGUGGGAAACGAUGUGGGAAGGCCCAGACAGCCAGGAUGUUGGCUUAGAAGCAGCCAUCAUUUAAAGAAAGCGUAAUAGCUCACUGGUCGAGUCGGCCUGCGCGGAAGAUGUAACGGGGCUAAACCAUGCACCGAAGCUGCGGCAGCGACGCUGAUGCGUUGUUGGGUAGGGGAGCGUUCUGUAAGCCUGUGAAGGUGUGCUGUGAGGCAUGCUGGAGGUAUCAGAAGUGCGAAUGCUGACAUAAGUAACGAUAAAGCGGGUGAAAAGCCCGCUCGCCGGAAGACCAAGGGUUCCUGUCCAACGUUAAUCGGGGCAGGGUGAGUCGACCCCUAAGGCGAGGCCGAAAGGCGUAGUCGAUGGGAAACAGGUUAAUAUUCCUGUACUUGGURUUACUGCGAAGGGGGGACGGAGAAGGCUAUGUUGGCCGGGCGACGGUUGUCCCGGUUUAAGCGUGUAGGCUGGUUUUCCAGGCAAAUCCGGAAAAUCAAGGCUGAGGCGUGAUGACGAGGCACUACGGUGCUGAAGCAACAAAUGCCCUGCUUCCAGGAAAAGCCUCUAAGCAUCAGGUAACAUCAAAUCGUACCCCAAACCGACACAGGUGGUCAGGUAGAGAAUACCAAGGCGCUUGAGAGAACUCGGGUGAAGGAACUAGGCAAAAUGGUGCCGUAACUUCGGGAGAAGGCACGCUGAUAUGUAGGUGAAGUCCCUCGCGGAUGGAGCUGAAAUCAGUCGAAGAUACCAGCUGGCUGCAACUGUUUAUUAAAAACACAGCACUGUGCAAACACGAAAGUGGACGUAUACGGUGUGACGCCUGCCCGGUGCCGGAAGGUUAAUUGAUGGGGUYAGCGCAAGCGAAGCUCUUGAUCGAAGCCCCGGUAAACGGCGGCCGUAACUAUAACGGUCCUAAGGUAGCGAAAUUCCUUGUCGGGUAAGUUCCGACCUGCACGAAUGGCGUAAUGAUGGCCAGGCUGUCUCCACCCGAGACUCAGUGAAAUUGAACUCGCUGUGAAGAUGCAGUGUACCCGCGGCAAGACGGAAAGACCCCGUGAACCUUUACUAUAGCUUGACACUGAACAUUGAGCCUUGAUGUGUAGGAUAGGUGGGAGGCUUWGAAGUGUGGACGCCAGUCUGCAUGGAGCCGACCUUGAAAUACCACCCUUUAAUGUUUGAUGUUCUAACGUUGACCCGUAAUCCGGGUUGCGGACAGUGUCUGGUGGGUAGUUUGACUGGGGCGGUCUCCUCCUAAAGAGUAACGGAGGAGCACGAAGGUUGGCUAAUCCUGGUCGGACAUCAGGAGGUUAGUGCAAUGGCAUAAGCCAGCUUGACUGCGAGCGUGACGGCGCGAGCAGGUGCGAAAGCAGGUCAUAGUGAUCCGGUGGUUCUGAAUGGAAGGGCCAUCGCUCAACGGAUAAAAGGUACUCCGGGGAUAACAGGCUGAUACCGCCCAAGAGUUCAUAUCGACGGCGGUGUUUGGCACCUCGAUGUCGGCUCAUCACAUCCUGGGGCUGAAGUAGGUCCCAAGGGUAUGGCUGUUCGCCAUUUAAAGUGGUACGCGAGCUGGGUUUAGAACGUCGUGAGACAGUUCGGUCCCUAUCUGCCGUGGGCGCUGGAGAACUGAGGGGGGCUGCUCCUAGUACGAGAGGACCGGAGUGGACGCAUCACUGGUGUUCGGGUUGUCAUGCCAAUGGCACUGCCCGGUAGCUAAAUGCGGAAGAGAUAAGUGCUGAAAGCAUCUAAGCACGAAACUUGCCCCGAGAUGAGUUCUCCCUGACNGUGGACGCAUCACUGGUGUUCGGGUUGUCAUGCCAAUGGCACUGCCCGGUAGCUAAAUGCGGAAGAGAUAAGUGCUGAAAGCAUCUAAGCACGAAACUUGCCCCG